AGCAGCCACCGCUCACACCCGCUGAUGGCGCCAAGCGAUCAGGGCCGGCACCAGACACCAGCAGUGGGUGUAAGUGGGGCCGGCAUUGGCAGCAGGUGUGAAUGCCCGGCAGGACUGCAACGCAUGGGAGCAAAGAAUUUUCAGUAACCACCAGAGGCUCGUCCCAAUGACAGCAACUGGCGCCCCACCUUGGUCUGGCUCACCUGCUCCACCAUCCCACCACGGCCAAUGCCUGCCAUGUUCCACGUACACCCUCUUUUGGUCAGCACACUUCAUAGCAACUGGUUAUUUGGUUGUUCAGUUGUUCAGUUGUUCUGCCAUUCGGUCUAUUUGCAUAUUAGGGUUUUAUAUAGAUUGCAUUGGCAGACAGUUUACCUAUGGUAAAAAGCAAGUACCUCAGUGGCCUAGCUGGAUAACUUGUGACAGAUAUAUACACUGUAUAACCAGAAUCCUGAUCACAUUACAGCAGCUACCCUCAGCCCCAGAAAACCCUUUUUUAAGUCAAGCCAAGAGGAAGCCAUUCUUGACAUCUCUGACCUGUGGUGGGUCUAUUUCUGGACUCCAUUCUGUCCCCUCACCUGUUGUUCUCGUGGCUGCCUUGAUUCCUGCAGCUUCGCAGCCAGCGCUGCUGUCAGUCCCAGAGGCUCUUUGUCAGCUCCGUUGGGGCUCCUCGGGGCCCUUUGUGUCUCCGUCACACUUUUAGAAUCAGCUCCUCAAUUUCUACAAAAAAAGCCUGCUGGGAUUUUGAUGAGGGAGGCAUUGAUCAGGAGGUUAUUUUGGGGAGAAAGACGCUAAAAGGUGCUGAGUCUUCCCCCCAUGGUCGUGGCACGUAUCUCUGUUCAUUUACUGCUUUCCUUUCUCUUGGCAGCAUUCUUUGGCGUUUUCGGAGUAGAAGUCUUACAUCUUACAUCUUUUUGUUAAACUCAUUCCCACAUACCUUAUGUUUUUUGCUGCUCCUGUAAACGGUGUUUUUAAAUUUAACUUUCCUCUUGUGCCUUGCUAGCAUUUAUAAGCGAGAUUGGUUUUGCAUGUUGGUGUACCUUAGCCUUCUCUAUGUUCAGUUACUAAUUCCACUGCUUUUUGUGGGUUUUGAGGGAUUUUCUAUAUCGACGUCUACAGCUGUGUUGUUCAUGAACAGACACAGAGUUCCUCCUCUCCAUUCUGUGUGCUCCCUUUUCUUUUUCUUGUCUCAUUGCAUCGGCCAGGACUGUGACACAGGGUUGCAGAUGACACUCUUGCUGUGCCCACAUGACUGAGCUAAUGGGGGGGUGGAACAGAUGGUGCAGGGACCCCAGGAAACCACAAGAGGAAGGUAAUACAGGACUUUUCUUUUGGGGUCUGGCUGACGUCUCAAUGUUCAUUAAAGAGCAAACCCUAGAAGAAUAUCACAUAUUGUAUAAUUCAUGAGACGCAGGCCAGCUAUAUAAUAUGCAGGCCCAGUGAAAAAUGAAAAUGUUGGCACCUUGUUCAAAAUGCAGGACAAAAGCCCUUUCAUUUCUUUCGAAGUCUCUCUCCCGCCCGCCCUCCUUUCUUUCCUCCCUCUCGUCUACUCUUUCUCUGUCAUGAUCCCUGGGGCAUGGGAAUAUUUACAAGGCAAAUGCAGACCCUCAUAGGCACCAGGGAUCCCACUCUACCACGUAGUAUUCCGGUCCACGUGCUCAUCUCCACGGCUUCCCACCCUGUGUUCAGGCCUCUGAUAGAGCAGAGGUGGCAGUGGUCACUGAGUGCGGGUGGGCGGGUGAUGAGAGAUGUGGCCACUUUCGAGGCCAGGCUCCAAGCCCAGAACAUGCUCCAUCUUCAAAACACAAAUUCAGCAAUGAAAUUACUAAACUUUCAAGGCAGUAACCACAGAGCAUUAAAAUUGCAAGCAGGGUCCUCCUGAGCACAGACACCCCUGAGGAUGGGCCCCCCUGGGUGUGGACCUCCCUGAACAUGAACCCCGGAAAUGCCACCCUGAUCAAACACUGACUUCCCUGCAUACCUGGGCCAGUUUCCGGCUUGCUCUUCUCUCCCGGGUCUGUCUGUUCGUGCACCUGACCAGGCAUGUUGUGCCGAAGGGAGGGCUGGUCCCAACACAGAGCCUUAUUUUCAGUGUCUGAUGACUAUCUUUGAGGGAUCAUUCAGAAGCUAUUUCUUGUGACAAAGAUUUAUUUAUGUACCAUUUAGCAGUCCUCAAAUUCACUCCAUGCCUUUUUCUCCUGUUAUAGUCAAAGAAAAUCCUACCUGCCUCUCCCUCUGCCUUCCACCUCCUCCAUGAGCCGGUCAUUCUUCCUUCAGUGGCGGGUGUGGGCCUGCCUCACCGGACAGACACAGGAGUUUCUCUGGCUGUGCCAUUGGCAGUGAAUUUUUUGGUUCCUUAUCGCUUUCUCUUCGAUAACUUUUGGAAUUGGUGGACUCUACACGUGCACACGCCCCUCCUAUAGAGAACAACCAAGUCAUUAUUCUUAAAAAAAAGGAUUUAAAAGGAGGGAGCCACGCACCCAGAUGGUUCGGGUGGAGGAGGGGCAGAAGCCGGUGGCAAUCCACAAAUUGGGGCCCCGUGCAUUAAUAGCGCCUGGAAAUAUCUCUGGUUCGUAUCUCUGACAAGCAAAGGCUUUGUGGGAAAACCAUUUUUAUUUCAGGAUCUGCCGAGACCGCCCUCCCGUUGGCCCUGCGUUUCCUUUCAUUCUGCUGCGGCUCCAUUCUGUCCUUCCACGAAUAGAAGAAGCCAGAAGGUGCAGGAAGAGAGAUAAACGCCGACAAACGGAGCAGCCUCUGCCCCGUGUGUCAGCUCUCAGGCUUUGUCUUCCUUUUUCGCAGAGAGGUGCCUUUCUGUUCUGUUGGCCUCUCACGACUAAUGUGAGAUCCCGGUUAUUGAAGAGAUGGGAGUGGGGGACUUAAAUCUGGGCUGGGGGGCUUCCUUAACAGCCCCUCGGCGCGUGGGAGCCGGUCCUGCCCGGCCUUGCUGGGUGCGGUGUGGGCUUUUCAUGCCCGGUUAUGCUAAUCCUGCUCGAGCCACUCGGCAGAAAAUAGUCUAAAAAUACCCUCCCCAUCACGGUGGCUCUGGCUCAAUAAAACCAGCAGGGCCCUUAGGUUGACGGCAUCUGGUUAUGGAAGGGCGGGCGCCGACACCACUGUGGUGUGGUGGCUGCUGGGCCCGUAGUCCAGGAUGCCAGCGUGGCGGCCGCUACUCCUGCCUCUGCAGCUGCACCUGGAGUCAGGGUUCCCUCGCACCGCCCUCUGCUCCUGGAGUUCCCCCACAUGCUCAGCUCUGCAGCAGCGUCCUUUCCCAGAGGCCUGGGCGCUGCCCCACUGGCCAGUUUCAAUGCGGCGCCUCCCCCACCUCUCCCAGGGGCUCAGGACCCCCACAUUGUCGAGAAGGACUCCCUGGGGCAGGUCCGACAGGUGCCCUUUCCCGCUGACUGAGGGUCCGCUAGGCUCACGGCACUUCCUGAGCACUGUGCCCUCACCAUGACCCACUGGCAAGCUGUGAAUGAAGAAGGGACAGGCAUGGCUCCCCUUCCUGCACUGCCUUCCUGUCAGCCUCGCUGACAGUGACCCUGUAGAAUUCUCCUUCCUCCCUGCCCUCACGUUCAUCCAUUCCUAUCCUGGAACCCUAGUCAGGAGGCUCUGCUCACCCUCACCCCCUGGUUUCACCUGCUCGGGAGGGUAGGACGCUGCAUAGUGCGUAAGCAGCAGGCACACGACUUAAGAAAGUGGCUUCCAGCCACUCCCUGCGGUUGGGACCCUCCCUGGGGGCCACCCUGAGCUCUGAAGGUUCAGAGGCUAGCUUCUGGGUCAGCUGGCUCCUCACAGCUUCUGUCCAGACGGGGGAGGACCCUCCCCUCUGCACUCCCAAACUGGCAGGCGCUGAUGCUCAUCCUCCACUCAGGAGCUGUGAUGGUUAAUUUCACCCGUCAACUUGAUAUUUGGCUCAGAUAUUUGGUUCAGCAUCUCUCUGGGUCUGUGUUCGAGGGUGUUUCUGGUGAGAUUAACAUUUACACAGGUAGACAGAGUAAGCAGAUUGCCCUCCCCAGACGGUGGGCCUCAACUGAUCAGGUGAAGGUUUGAGGAUGGCAAAAAGACUGACCUCCCCCAAGUGAGAAAGGACUCUUCUGCCUGCUGGCCUUUGAAUGGAGACACUGGCUUUUUCCUGCCUUCAGCUGGAACGAAACCUUCAGCUCUCUUGAGUCUCCAGCCUGCUGACUCAGCCUGCAGGCCCUGACGUGUGUGAGCUUCCAUCAUCCCGUGAGCUAAGGCCUUAUGAUAAAUCUCUCCCUAUGUAUACAGCUGUUAGUUCUGUUUCUCUGGAGAGCCCCGAGAAUACAGGUGUGCCAGCCAGGAGUUCCAUGGAGAGGUGUAGGCAGCAAACCUGAGUUACCACUGCAGCGUGAUGAGGUCCCAUGGGAGUGGCUGUAGGAGAAGCAAAGGGGUGCACGGAUGAGGUCAGGGCAGAGAGAGGGGGCUGCGGGGGUGGCCAGCAGGGGUGCUGUGCUGGGAGCUGCGUCCUCUCCCUGGUCCCCACACAGAGACGCUUCCUGUCCUGUAAGGGCUUGUCCAUAGUUUCCAGUUCUUUCCUCUGCAAACAGCACAACCUGAGGACCUGACGCCACUUCCUCUGGACUUGCCAGCAGUGGCUGGCAGGCGGACAGGGCGUGCUCACUCGGAAUCCGACAGUGUGGGAACUCCUGCCCGCUCCGUGUGAGUUGAGCUCAUCGCUUUAAGAUGACAAAUUGAGCAAAAUUCUACAACCUAACAACUCCUAGAGUGGCCUGUGUCCACCUCGGUCGAUGGGCUGUGGCUGCAUUAAGGCUCCUGGACACCCGCCUGUUUGGUUAUGCUCAAGGCUCUGGCCUAUUACCAUCCAGGCUGGGGAGCCAAGUUGGCGCCCAAAGCAUGUUUCUUUGUUUAAUGGACAGUCUCUGGAGGGCUCCAGCUCUCUUCUAGGUUUCCCCCUCCUCGGGGCACCAUCUUUGCCAACCAUUUUCCUACCACGAGGCCGCUAGUCCCCAAGGACUCACCCACCUGCAGCUCAGAGUGUCCCCUCCUCCACCCACAAUCCAGGUCCAGGGUCUCGCCAUGGGAGGAACAGCUAUCAAAAUGCAAACUCCAGUUGUACCCAGUAGGUUCCAGUUGUGUCCAGGGUAGCCUAUUUGGAACUGAUGACUUGAAGACUUUCAAGAGGAGCUCAUAAAAUAUGAAUUUGUGAUUGAAUGGAGUGAAACAACCAUAUACCUUAAUUAAAUUAAGACCAGACUCUACGAUAACGUUUCCAUAGUGCUUACUAUGUGCCAGAUGCUAAUAGAAGUACAUACUUUACAUAUAUUUGCAUAUUUGAUCCUCAACACAACCCACGAGGUUGCCAUGAUUACGGUUCCCACUCUCGGAUAAGUAGAUUUAGGUACAGAGAUGCCACGCAGCCCUCCACUCAGGCACAAACAGCAAGUGGUCAAUUACCAUGAAAACCAGCCAACUUAGCUAUAAAAUGGUAAAAUUAAAGGAGUAACCAGGCACCAGCUUUAGGCACCAGAUUAGCAAAUACUAAAAAGAAUGUCAUGGGGGGAGGACACUUCGGGGACAUGGGCGCUUUUGUCGCUUGUCUCUGUGGGAUACUUGAAUGUCACCUACCAGAAACCUUAAAAACGAGUCCAAAUUCUUAGAAUUUGUCCUGAGGAUAUGAGAUAUGCCCCCAAAUAUAAGCACAGCCGUAUUUUCACAGCUUUCUGACAAAAGCUAAAAUCUGAACAACUUAAUUCUUCAUGGUCAACAAUGAAGAAUUAGUCAGUAAAUUGUAUUUCUUCAAACCACGUCAGUCUACGCAACUCUCCAUUUACUGACCUUGAAAACUGCUAGUGAUGUCAUUGUUAAACGAAAAAUCCAUAGGACAGAUGGUAUAUUACACACUCAUAUAGCACAACGUGCAGAGUUAUCUGUGCUCAGAUAGAGACAGGCAUAUGAGGCAUUUUCUGUGGGAUGGUGUUAUGAGUGUCUUCUUCUUUUUGUUUAUUAAUUCUACUGUUUGCCAUGAAGAUGUGUAGCUCAUGCAGCAAGCGUGGAAAAGGUGCCUCCCAUGGCGUGAGCAGACUCCGUGUUCCAUUUCUUAGGUCUCAGGUCUCUGGAAAACGUGGAACAGCCGACCCUCUGCAGUCUGGAUCCUGCCCUGGCUCCUGCUCGGAGCUCUGCCAGCGCGCCGAGCCUUCUGGAAGGAAAGGCCUUGCCAGCUCCCUUUGCUGGAAGAGUCUGCAGUUAAUUAGAGGCUCUCCUCUGAGCACACCUGUCUGGAGUCUGGUCGCUCGGCCGCAGGGAGCGCCUGCCGGGCGCUCGGGCAUCCUGGGGAUGGAAUGUGCUGGAUGUGCAGGAGCAGGUCAUAGCGGGAGCUCUAGCCCAGGACGGAGGGAAAACAGCGAGUGUGAGCUGAGCCUCAACGAUGGCUGCUGGGAGGACAAUGACCACAACGCAGUGCUGAGAACACAAGCCCAGUGUCUGAGGACGACGCUUCUAGAGAGUUCCAGUCACAGAGCAGAAGCUGGUACCAUGAGGUGAACAGAAAACCCAGAAAUGCUCAGCAAGAUCUCAGGACAAAGAGUUUGUACCAAAACUAUGUGAAAGCUACCUCGACCAAGAAGUCCCUGGGCUAAUGUUCACCAGAUGGGCUGCCACAUGGCCUUCUCUGCAGGACGCAUCGGACUCCCGCCCAGAUGGGCAGGACGCUUCCUGAAAAUGGACAGGGUGGGGGCAAGACGGUGUGUUAUUGCCCCUAGAGCCGCCGACACAUAGAAAUGAAGAGAAGAAACCGUUCCUCUGUCUAAACUGUUUUCAGGUUGAAGGACAUUGGAUGGGAAAUCCUGAUCAGAGGAAACUUCUGGCUACCAGUCUUCACCACCACCGCUUUGGACACAAAAUCAAAAAGACCAGCUGGAAUGGAAUGAUAUGCAUACCAGCAAUAUUUCUUACUCUCAUCACAUUUUGUGCAAAAUAAACACCUAAUAGUUU
Myotis daubentonii (Daubenton's bat) is the source of this 6972-nucleotide long non-coding RNA. RefSeq lists it as uncharacterized. The record is from RefSeq and is a predicted model, not a curated record. NCBI's taxonomy places the organism in Eukaryota, Metazoa, Chordata, Mammalia, Chiroptera, Vespertilionidae.